This 252-nucleotide ribosomal RNA is filed under the name uncultured microorganism. RNAcentral's name for it is "partial 16S ribosomal RNA". It matches the Rfam family "Bacterial small subunit ribosomal RNA", at positions 524 to 776 of the family's 1533-position model. The record is from RNAcentral.
UACGUAGGUCCCGAGCGUUGUCCGGAUUUAUUGGGCGUAAAGCGAGCGCAGGUGGUUUAAUAAGUCUGAUGUAAAAGGCAGUGGCUCAACCAUUGUGUGCAUUGGAAACUGUUAGACUUGAGUGCAGUAGAGGAGAGUGGAAUUCCAUGUGUAGCGGUGAAAUGCGUAGAUAUAUGGAGGAACACCGGUGGUGAAAGCGGCUCUCUGGACUGUAACUGACACUGAGGCUCGAAAGCGUGGGUAGCAAACAGG